This 871-nucleotide ribosomal RNA is filed under the name uncultured bacterium. RNAcentral describes it as "bacterial SSU rRNA". It matches the Rfam family "Bacterial small subunit ribosomal RNA", at positions 25 to 905 of the family's 1533-position model. The record is from RNAcentral.
CAGGACGAACGCUGGCGGCGUGCUUAACACAUGCAAGUCGAACGGUGAACCCGCUUCGGUGGGGGAUCAGUGGCGAACGGGUGAGUAACACGUGGGCAACCUGCCCCCGGCUCUGGGAUAACUCCAAGGAAUUGGGGCUAAUACCGGAUAUUUCCGCUGACCGCAUGGUCUGGUGGUGGAAAGGGUUUCCGGCUGGGGAUAGGCCCGCGGCCUAUCAGCUUGUUGGUGGGGUAGUGGCCUACCAAGGCGACGACGGGUAGCCGGCCUGAGAGGGUGACCGGCCACACUGGGACUGAGACACGGCCCAGACUCCUACGGGAGGCAGCAGUGGGGAAUAUUGCGCAAUGGGCGAAAGCCUGACGCAGCGACGCCGCGUGGGGGAUGACGGCCUUCGGGUUGUAAACCUCUUUCAGCAGGGACGAAGCCGUGAGGUGACGGUACCUGCAGAAGAAGCACCGGCCAACUACGUGCCAGCAGCCGCGGUAAUACGUAGGGUGCAAGCGUUGUCCGGAAUUAUUGGGCGUAAAGAGCUCGUAGGCGGUUCGUCGCGUCGGCUGUGAAAUCCCGAGGCUCAACCUCGGGUCUGCAGUCGAUACGGGCGGACUGGAGUUCGGCAGGGGAGACUGGAAUUCCUGGUGUAGCGGUGAAAUGCGCAGAUAUCAGGAGGAACACCGGUGGCGAAGGCGGGUCUCUGGGCCGAUACUGACGCUGAGGAGCGAAAGCGUGGGGAGCGAACAGGAUUAGAUACCCUGGUAGUCCACGCCGUAACCGUUGGGCGCUAGGUGUGGGGGCCAUUCCACGGUCUCCGUGCCGCAGCUAACGCAUUAAGCGCCCCGCCUGGGGAGUACGGCCGCAAGGGCUAAAACUCAAG